AUACACAGAGAACCACGUGGAGGAAAAGCACGCGAGUUUGGAGGGGGUGGAGCAGGAACAGAGGUGGACUGGAAUGUCACACGACGGGGCAGCUGGAAGGGCACCACUGAGUUCAGUACUUCAAAAUUGCUGUGCUCUACCUUUCCCCAGUGCACAGAAACACUCUCCACACCAAGCUGCUGCUGCUGGGGGAUGGAGGGAUGGCGUCAGCGAUUCAAGACUGUUUUUCCUACCUGUUCAGCGCUUCUUUCAGCGAUAUGAAGUUAAAUCCAGGCUGAGUUCCCACCUGGUGGGAAGCACUGUGCAGGUUCCUGGGGACGCAGCCCUGCACAGCCCAGACUGGACUCCUUUCCCAUGGAACUUACAACACACGGGAGAGGCAGAGAGAUCCAAGUGCACAGAAAAACACAUGAAGAUUCAGCCCUGUCAUCUUGUGCAAAUCCUCACUGUCCCCAGAAGGAAGAGAGGCACACAGAGCUCCCCAGUCACUGGAAUCCAGGAAGAAUUAAGGUGCUCAAGACCCACCACCUCUUUGCCUGCGAACUCUAAGCUCUCUGUCCUGCUCCCUUGCUCCCAGAAGUGGCACUGGAUGGAUCCCAUCCAGGUCAGCCCAGGCUGUUAUUUCCUCCCCUUCUGUACCUAAUCCCAGUGAGAUGAAGAGUUUACACGUGUUUCUCACUUGAAUCAGGGAAGUCUAGUUUGCAUUCUCCUGACUGGAUGGGCCUGGGGAAGGCAGAGACUGCAUUGAAUCUUUCAUCUCAUUGGUCUGGGGAUUUGGUUCCGAAGAUCAAUACCUUCCAGAAUCUUCCUGUCUCUCCCCAAAUUCUGGACAGUUCUGUUUCCAGCACUCAUCCAUGAUAGGGGGGUACAGGAAAUGAGUGUCGAGGGAAAGGCAUCCCACCUUCUCUCUGUUCCACCUUCCAGAUCUGACAACUCACUGGAAAGUUCUUCUCUGUGUCCCUGUCCCCCGUCUGGUUCUGAGGCCGCCACUUUCCCCAGCCUUGGUGCCUUGGGUUUUUCUGCUCUGUGAAAUGAACAAGGUCCAUUAUCCUGUUCUCCCCUGAAGAAAAGAGGGUGUGGGGGGCUUGGCACAGGAAAUGGCCCUUGCCUUUCACAGGCUUUGGGGUCUGAGGGCAGCUCUGAUGCCCCAGCAUGCUUUUCCGACCCAACAACUGGGAGACCCCCUUGCCAUUUUCCCACCCAGUAUCUGAAAUUAGCAGCUGCCUAAUCUCUCUCUGCCAUAUCACUCAAUGGUUUAAUUGUGCAGAAAAAAAUGUAUUAAAAUGCAAAACACUCAGUUGUACUUCUUUAUGUUAAAUCCCUUCUUCACUCUAUCUCCCUUUUAAUUUUACAAGGUUUUUUCUCUUUCCCCAUUUCAUAAAAGGGAGAACUGGGCACGCAGGGAAUCAUUUCAAUUCCCCUAUAAAUCUCCAAAAUGAAUACUUAAAUUCGAGGAAAAAAUACAUUCUUACACCUUUAAUUUCCCUGCUAUGAAGUGUAAUGAAAAAGCCUGAUUAUUUUUAAUUCUUCCCUUUAAUAAUUCAGCGGCAGAGUGAUUUAAGACUAGGAUUCAUAAUUACCUUUCUGCUUUCUUGGCAAAUGGAGUUUUAAUAGAAAUGAGAGCUCUGGCGACUGAAAUGGAUUUCAACAGGUCGCUGGGGGGUCAGGUUCAACACCAAUUGGUGGAAAGGUGUUCCUAGAGUCCCUCAGGUAUGGGGUCUGGACUGGUUACCUGGGCCCAUGUGGACGGAGGAAGUAUAUCACCUUGUGCUCACUGGGAACCAUCUGUUGUAAUAGUAACCGAAGGUCACAGUGUGGGUGCCUAAUGACUCAUUUAUCCUGGAAGGAAGAAACUGGUGAAAAAUGGCCAUCAGGACAGUCUUCUUGAUUAGUAAUAAUAACUAAUAACUAUGAUGUUAAUGAUAGCAGCUACCAUUAAUUGAGCAAAUACUAUGUGUCAGGCACAGUGUUCAGUGCUUCAGAGACAUUCUAGGCAUGCAUGAUGGUGUGCACCUGUAGUCCCACCUACUCAGGAGACUGAGGUGGGAGGAUCACUUGAGCCUGGCUCACUUGAGGCUGCAGUGAGCUGUGAUCAUCACCACCACCAUCAUCCAGCCUGGGUGAGAGCGUGAGACCCAGUCUCUAAAAAGAAAAAAAAGACAUUAUUUUUUCUUAUUUUCACAAUAAUCUUUUCUACAUGGGGGGAAACUGAGGCUCAGAGGCUUAUAUGGUUUGGCUCUGUGUCCCCACCCAAAUCUUAUCUUGUAGCUCCCAUAAUUCCCAUGUGUUGUGGGAGGGACUCGGUGGAAGAUGAUUGAAUCAUGAGGGUGGGUCCUUCUCAUGCUGUUCUCAUGAUAGUGAACGGUUUUCACAAGAUCUGACGGUUUUAAAAACGGGAGUUGCCCUGCACAAGCUCUUUUUGCCCGCUGCCAUCCACUUAAGAUGUGACUUGCUCCUCCUUGCCUUCCACCAUGAUUGUGAGGCUUCCCCAGCCACGUGCAACUAUA
This 2507-nucleotide non-coding RNA is filed under the name Pongo abelii (Sumatran orangutan). Lineage: Eukaryota; Metazoa; Chordata; Mammalia; Primates; Hominidae. The record is from RNAcentral.